GACGAACGCUGGCGGCGUGCUUAACACAUGCAAGUCGAACGGAAAGGCCCUGCUUUUGUGGGGUGCUCGAGUGGCGAACGGGUGAGUAACACGUGAGUAACCUGCCCUUGACUUGGGGAUAACUUCAGGAAACUGGGGCUAAUACCGGAUAGGAGCACUUGCUGCAUGGUGGGGGUUGGAAAGUUUCGGCGGUUGGGGAUGGACUCGCGGCUUAUCAGCUUGUUGGUGGGGUAGUGGCUUACCAAGGCUUUGAUGGGUAGCCGGCCUGAGAGGGUGACCGGCCACAUUGGGACUGAGAUACGGCCCAGACUCCUACGGGAGGCAUCAGUGGGGAAUAUUGCACAAUGGGCGGAAGCCUGAUGCAGCAACGCCGCGUGCGGGAUGACGGCCUUCGGGUUGUAAACCGCUUUCGCCUGUGACGAAGCGUGAGUGACGGUAAUGGGUAAAGAAGCACCGGCUAACUACGUG
RNAcentral lists this ribosomal RNA (468 nucleotides) under uncultured bacterium. RNAcentral's name for it is "partial 16S ribosomal RNA". It matches the Rfam family "Bacterial small subunit ribosomal RNA", at positions 28 to 507 of the family's 1533-position model. The record is from RNAcentral.